UAAUAGUUUUAAACAAAAAAUACUUUAGAUAUUUAACGAUUCCCGCGAAUAGUGAAGUUAAUAAAGGCCCACGCAUAUUUAUACGGCGAUAAAGGGUGAUUUUUUUCGCCCGCCACCAUAAUAGCUAAAUUUGCCGGCCAUAGCCCCGAACUGCGCCACCCAAGAUAAACAAGUUUUUCUGCAAAUGUUUUAAAUCGAAUUUUUCGAUAACAAGGUAUAAUAUUUUGCUUUCCAACAACCGUCGAAUUGGUAAAUUGGCUAUCAAAUUCAAAUUAAUAUCGAUAAACUUUUUGACGGCCUUUAAAAAAACAGAUUUAAUAGUUAAAAGACGUGAGACAAAUAAAAGGUAAAUAUAAGAAUCAAAUAUUGCGUGAAAAAAAACAAAAUAAAAGUUCGUUUGUAAUAUAUAAUUGAUAAUAUUAAAAGGUUAAGAACCGUUUUUUAAAGACCAGGUUAAAUAUACGGAAUAUAUAUAUGUAAAACCAUUUGAACUUAACCCGGGCGUUAUUUUAUCACAUCUUUGCCCGACGACUUAGCAAAUAGGCCAAUAAAAUAAAACAUCUUGCAGUAUUUACACUUGGAAAAUACCUCGUCGGUCCCAAUUAUAAGGUAUUGUUACACGUUUGUAAGAUAUUAUUUUAAUACGGUUUCUGGGCUUUUAAAAUCAAAUAUUUGGUUAGGACACGGGUAAUUUAACAUUUCCCAAAAUAUAUUAUUACGAAAUUUAAAAAGUGUGUUCCGUAUAAAAGCAACUUUUAAUAUAUUUAUUAUGGGUCUGUUUUAGAGGGUCUGGGCAAAAACCUAUUCAGUUAAAUAUAUUUUUUAAUUUUGGAAAUACUUUUAAAGCUUUUUGGAUUUAUUUAAAAGGUUGCGAGUUUUCAAAUGGAUUUUAAGUAUAAAUAUAUAAAUAUUCUAAUUUAGGGAGACUUUUAUAACUGGUUAAUUAUUAUAUUAAAGUAGUAAGAGACGCGUUUAAAAUAUUAAUUUUAUAAAUACUUUGCAUAUAAUACCCCACGUAGCCCAUAAAUAAUUUACCGGGUCCCAAUUACGGGUUUAAGUAAAAAAGGGUUUAGAAGCUCGAAACCAAAUAAAAUAAUAAAAUAAGUAAUAAUAUACCACACUUACUCGCAAUAACGCUUUCUUAAUUAAUUCAUAUAUAAAAAACCUAUUAAUAAUUAAAUUUUAAUAUAAUUUAAAAUUAAAAGAAAUAAAUUUCGAGAAGUAAAUAUAUAAGAAGGUUUAUUAAAAUACUUGUAAAAUAAUUUAAAAAAUUAACUUGGCGAUAUAUUUAUUUUAAAAUACAAAGUAUAAAAGGUAUUAAAUAAAAAGUAUAUAGUAUUAUUUCUUUGUUAAGUUAAGGGACUAAUAAAAUUUUAAACUAAGAAUAAAUAUUACAUUAAAAGCGAGCCGGCUUUAAUUUAUUUUGGUAUAUAUUAAAAUUGUUAAUUAAAUAUUUAAUACGCUGCUGUUUACCGGUAAAAUUUAAUCCGCUAUAAUUUUUUGAAACUAUUAAAUCACCACUUAUUACAAUCCUGCAAAAGUAUUAUUUAUCUUUUACGUUGGUUUUUAAUAAAUAUUAAUAAAACAAAUCUCGGUUGUUAUUAUCUUAGGUAGAGGCUUAUAAGCUAUUAACACUUUUGUAAAUAUAAAUAUUAACCCAAUAUAUCCCGCCACCGCAAUUAUAAAUAUAAAGUAUUUACAGCGAGAAAAGGCAUCCCGUAUUAUAAACCCUACCGUAAAAACAGAAUUGCCUCCAACUUUACCGUAAAAAUAAGAGAAUAUGGCGCGGGUUUCCACGUUAUUAUUACAAACUACACACCGGGGUUGGCCGCAGGUUUUCCCAACCGAAGAUGUUUUUUUAUAUAUUAUAUCUCCGAAAAAACAUUUAAUUAUCGCCACGGGCUCGAUAAUGUGGAAGUGUUUGGGGUUUUUAAUUGCGUAUACAAAUCCAUUAAAUAAUAUUUACUGGCAGGUCCACACAGCGAUAAUUUGCACUGGGCACUUGGUGGAAUUUCGGCCAAAUUAAAGACGAGGCAUAGUAGUAAACAAACGCGCCAUGCCAAAAAAAAAAAAAAGGAAAAAAAAACAAUAAGGUAGCGGUAAAAGGGGUUACGAAAUUAAAUUUAACGAACAAAAUUAUAUAUCGCCGGCCGGUAACCGUUUGUUUACCGUAUGUAAUACGUAUAAAUUUGGAAAAAACGCGUUUUUGGAAAUUGGGAAUAAUUAUAUAUAACGACCGGCCGUUAUUAGGCAAAAAGCGGUAGCAAUUAUUAUUACCGUUUCGCAGCAAAAUUCGGGUUACAAUUCCAAUACAAAAUGAGACAAAUUUGGGUGGAAUUGGUUGGGGAUAUAUCGCAAACCCUGUUUCCGCAAUAAUAUCACUGGGUUGGGUACGGAGUGGAUAUUAAUAAGUGCCCGAUAGUCGGAUAUAAGUGCUCGCUAGUCUAGCCCUUUAAUACUGGGGCCGAAUGGGAAAAUAAUAUUGGUUGCAACACUAUUUAUAAAUAAUACCGAAUAAAAGGAAACUUAUAUAUGAAGUAAGUUUGGUGGGGAAGGCCGAAAAUUUAACGCAUAAAUGAAAACAAAAGAACCGAAGGGUCGGCCGACUUGGAUAAUUAAUAUAGAAUUACAAGGUAAAAGCUUAUCUAAUUGAGGAUAAACAAGUUCUGCAUAAAGAGGAUUGCGAAAGCCCGCAUACCUACGUGGUUAAUUUUUCGAUUUCUUCUCUGGGACGGCUUGAGCUGUCUUGAACAGAAACCUCAAGUCGAAUAAACAUGCGGCUACAAUUUAAUAAUUGUAGUUAAGCUGUAAGAUCGUGACAUAUAUUGUUAAUCAUAAAACACAGUUAUAUCUUGCGUAAUUGCGUUGUAUGUUAGUAUCACUGUUCGACUGACAGGGAUUGAAUGGUAAAUUAUUCUAUUGACAAUGGCGGCCACUCCGAUCUUUAAUUGCCCGCACUUUGGUAACUUAGUUACUAAUACUACCUAUGUAUUAAUAACACAGGCCGAGUCGCACGCUAUUCAAUGCACUAGUUUGCCAUAGAGUUCCACUACAGCAUUAAUUAUGCUAGCUCAUAAGCUAUUUUAAGUA
RNAcentral lists this small RNA (3090 nucleotides) under Pyricularia oryzae. RNAcentral describes it as "Magnaporthe oryzae sRNA M_BR32_EuGene_00124901". The record is from RNAcentral. Lineage: Eukaryota; Fungi; Ascomycota; Sordariomycetes; Magnaporthales; Pyriculariaceae.